Stegodyphus mimosarum is the source of this 72-nucleotide non-coding RNA. The record is from Rfam. Lineage: Eukaryota; Metazoa; Arthropoda; Arachnida; Araneae; Eresidae.
GCCUUCGUGGUGUAUGGUCAGCACACUGAGCCGGUAUUUCAGAGGUCCGCGGUUCGAUCCCCGGCGAAGGCA